This 685-nucleotide ribosomal RNA is filed under the name Escherichia coli. RNAcentral's name for it is "partial 23S ribosomal RNA". It matches the Rfam family "Bacterial large subunit ribosomal RNA", at positions 2259 to 2925 of the family's 2925-position model. Lineage: Bacteria; Pseudomonadati; Pseudomonadota; Gammaproteobacteria; Enterobacterales; Enterobacteriaceae. The record is from RNAcentral.
UGGUGGGUAGUUUGACUGGGGCGGUCUCCUCCUAAAGAGUAACGGAGGAGCACGAAGGUUGGCUAAUCCUGGUCGGACAUCAGGAGGUUAGUGCAAUGGCAUAAGCCAGCUUGACUGCGAGCGUGACGGCGCGAGCAGGUGCGAAAGCAGGUCAUAGUGAUCCGGUGGUUCUGAAUGGAAGGGCCAUCGCUCAACGGAUAAAAGGUACUCCGGGGAUAACAGGCUGAUACCGCCCAAGAGUUCAUAUCGACGGCGGUGUUUGGCACCUCGAUGUCGGCUCAUCACAUCCUGGGGCUGAAGUAGGUCCCAAGGGUAUGGCUGUUCGCCAUUUAAAGUGGUACGCGAGCUGGGUUUAGAACGUCGUGAGACAGUUCGGUCCCUAUCUGCCGUGGGCGCUGGAGAACUGAGGGGGGCUGCUCCUAGUACGAGAGGACCGGAGUGGACGCAUCACUGGUGUUCGGGUUGUCAUGCCAAUGGCACUGCCCGGUAGCUAAAUGCGGAAGAGAUAAGUGCUGAAAGCAUCUAAGCACGAAACUUGCCCCGAGAUGAGUUCUCCCUGACUCCUUGAGAGUCCUGAAGGAACGUUGAAGACGACGACGUUGAUAGGCCGGGUGUGUAAGCGCAGCGAUGCGUUGAGCUAACCGGUACUAAUGAACCGUGAGGCUUAACCUUACAACGCCGAAGC